UCUACAGACACGAAACCACGAUAAUUAUUUUCGGUGAGAGACGUGUCCUAUGAUGGAGGAGGAGCCUGAGUCUUGGUGAAAGACAAAAGAUGGGUGGAUUUCUUAUCUAAUUUGAUUUUUUAAAACAUUUACUCAAUCUGGAAUCUGAAAUCGAGAAACAAAAAAGAAGAUAAAUUGUUAUACUUUUCUAUUUACUUUUUUUUUUUUUUUUACUUUGGUGUAGAAGAAACUAGAGAUGGUGUAGUGCAAAGAUAAUAAAUGGUGUAGUAUAAGGAUAGUGAAGUCUUUUUGCAACUAAAAAGUGUAUCUAGUAUUCAUUGUGUCUUUAAGUGUAAUUAAUAUGUUGAAAUGUGUUUUUAGUUGUAAUUUUUUAUCCAUUUAAUGGGCGCGAUUUAUUUUUUACCUCUUAUUAUUCGAGAAAAGAGUUGCGCUAGAAUAAAACUAAAUCACAUGAUAACAAAAUAUAUUUUUUACUCUAUAUACGGUGGGCCUAGCGUAAAUAGUUUUACGCUGAUAUGUUUAACAAUCGUACACAUAAUAUCAAACUGUUCAUUGUAAGUAUAACAGGACGAUAGAGACGAUUUGCAAUUUUGCAUCAAACAAAUAUAUGCAUGCUCUUAAAAAUCUAACAAAUUUCUUGUUUAUAUCUAAUUCUAAUUAGCUCAUGUUGGAGAAAUAUAUCCAAGCAAUCAUACUCAGCAUAUUUUAGAUGACGAAAAAUUAAACUUAAGAAGUGUUAGGAAAGAUCAACUAACAUUUCUACUUGAAUUAAAAAUAAAAUUGUGGAAAAAUGGGGGAUAUUAAUAUGGGGUGGGAUAAAGGAAAUAAAUGGUUGAUGGGUGAUGAUGAUGUUGACAAGGCAAAAUAAAAGAGCCUGAUUUGAUGGGGUUUGGUGUGUUUCUUUGGAUGUGAUUUGUCUCUCAUUCUGCACCAUUCUCUGGCAUUUCCUUAGAUAGUAAAGGACUCUCCAAGUCCAAGUGUGUAUAUACUUAUCCAGUCGUGAGUUCCGAAUAUUUCAACUAGAUGUACGUAUAGUUCAGGUAAUAGCAAAGAUAUGUUUAGUCAAGUUUUUUUUUUGAUAAUUUGUUUUAUACAUUUAGUCAAAGUUUAUCAUGAAAUGAUUCUACAUUUUUCCUGCAAAGAAAACACUUUUCAAAUAUACACUUUGUCAACUGUGGACAUUUAUUUUACAAAUUAGUGCUAAAUUUGUUUUAGGUAUUUAACAAACAUUUUUUUGACAAAGUAUAUAUUUUUAAUAAUGGUAAAAUUUUAUGUAGAUUUAUUUUCUAGAUGGUGAUAAACUUGUAUCUUGGUGUUUAUGAAGGAAGUUUGCAUUUGUAUCGAUAAAUAAAGGGUAAAUUUCAAUUUUACGGCUUUUUCAAUAUAUCUUUAAAGAAUAACGAUUUUCAUAAAUAUCUUAAGUUUCUGGUGAAAAAUAUUAAACUAACUCUGUAAAUUAUUUAUAAAUAUUUUAAAAUAAUUUAUAAAAUAUUUAUAGAAGUGUAUAAAUUUAAUAUCACCUUCUAAAUAUUAAACUAUAAACAAUAAUCACUAAGCCUUAAACCCAAAUGUUAAAAUAUUUCUGACUGAAUUUCUUUUGAAAGGUGGUCAACUUUUUUUUGUCAUCAUUUUGAAAAGUGCUUAACAAAUUAUGGUAUUUCAAACAAUAUUUCUAAAUAAAUCGUAAAUAUUUUUUUUACAAUUGAAUACAAUCAUACAAGUAUGCAGUGCCAGUGCCUGAAUGCAAAUAUAUGUCUACUAUAGAAAUUCACAUAAUUGUAUGCAUACAAAUUUACUAUCAUUUUGAUAAAUAGUACAAAUCUACUAUUAUAAAUCAGUUAUACCAUAGUAAACCAUAAAUUUACCAAUAUUUGAGUAAAAUACUCAAAAGUUUAAAUAACUUUUACACUGAAAGAGAUAAGUUUACCACUUUAUUAAAAAAAUUGUCAAUCAAUGAAAAAGUAUCUAUACCAAAAUACAAAAACCGACCAAAAUUCGAUUGUCUAAACCAAAAGUAUACAAUGCAACAUUAGUCUAUCAUCGAAAAUGAAAU
This is a long non-coding RNA of Brassica rapa (field mustard), 2053 nucleotides long. RefSeq lists it as uncharacterized. Lineage: Eukaryota; Viridiplantae; Streptophyta; Magnoliopsida; Brassicales; Brassicaceae. The record is from RefSeq and is a predicted model, not a curated record.